This 661-nucleotide ribosomal RNA is filed under the name uncultured eukaryote. RNAcentral's name for it is "SSU rRNA". It matches the Rfam family "Eukaryotic small subunit ribosomal RNA", at positions 618 to 1286 of the family's 1831-position model. The record is from RNAcentral.
GUUAAAAAGCUCGUAGUUGGAUUUCGGAGUGGGCCAGUUGGUCCGCCGCAAGGUGUGUUACUGACUGGUUUGCUCUUCUUCGCAAAGACUGCGUGUGCUCUUCAGUGAGUGUCCGUAGGAUUUACGACGUUUACUUUGAAAAAAUUAGAGUGUUCAAAGCAGGCUAUUGCUUGAAUACAUGAGCAUGGAAUAAUGGAAUAGGACUUUGGUCCCAUUUUGUUGGUUUCUAGGGCCGAAGUAAUGAUUAAGAGGGACAAUUGGGGGCAUCCGUAUUUCGUUGUCAGAGGUGAAAUUCUUGGAUUUACGAAAGACGAACAACUGCGAAAGCACUUGCCAAGAGUGUUUUCAUUAAUCAAGAACGAAAGUUAGAGGAUCGAAGGCGAUCAGAUACCGUCCUAGUUCUAACCAUAAACGAUGUCGACUAGGGAUCAGCGGGCGUUAUCGUACGACCCCGUUGGCACCUUACGGGAAACCAAAGUUUCUGGAUUCCGGGGGAAGUAUGGUUGCAAAGCUGAAACUUAAAGGAAUUGACGGAAGGGCACCACCAGGAGUGGAGCCUGUGGCUCAAUUUGACUCAACACGGGAAAACUUACCAGGUCCAGACAUAGUAAGGAUUGACAGGUUGAGAGCCCUUUCUUGAUUCUAUGGGUGGUGGUGCAUG